This is a non-coding RNA of Paramuricea clavata, 609 nucleotides long. NCBI's taxonomy places the organism in Eukaryota, Metazoa, Cnidaria, Anthozoa, Malacalcyonacea, Plexauridae. The record is from the annotation of a GenBank genome assembly.
GGCAUUGGGCUAUUCCAUUUAAUAUCCGUACCCCCCCCCUGUCGAGGAUCCCUGGAAUUCUUCAGGGGUAAAGUGUUUUGAGCUUGGAAUUCUUCAGGGGUAAAGUGUUUUGAGUUUGGAAUUCUUCAGGGGUAAAUGGUUUUGAGCUUGGAAUUCUUCAGGGGUAAAGGGUUUUGAGCUUGGAAUUCUUCAGGGGUAAAGAGGUUUGAGAUUGAAAUUUUUCAGAGCUUGGAAUUCUUCAGGGGUGAAGGGUUUUGAGCUUGGAAUUCUUCAGUGGUAAAGUGUUUUGAGUUUGGAAUUCUUCAGGGGUAAAUGGUUUUGAGCUUGGAAUUCUUCAGGGGUAAAGGGUUUUGAGCUUGGAAUUCUUCAGGGGUGAAGAGGUUUGAGAUUGAAAUUUUUUUGAGCUUGGAAUUUUUCUGGGGUAAAAGGUUUUGAGCUUGAAAUUCUUCAGGGGUAAAGGGUUUUGAGCUUGGAAUUCUUUAGGGGUGAAGGGUUUUGAGCUUGGAAUUCUUCAGGGGUAAAAGGUUUUGAGCUUGGAAUUCUUCAGGGGUAAAGGGUUUUGAGCUUGGAAUUUUGGAAUUCUUCAGAGGUAAAAGGUUUUGAGCUUGG